AUUGAACGCUGGCGGCAGGCCUAACACAUGCAAGUCGAGCGGUAGCACAGAGAGCUUGCUCUCGGGUGACGAGCGGCGGACGGGUGAGUAAUGUCUGGGAAACUGCCUGAUGGAGGGGGAUAACUACUGGAAACGGUAGCUAAUACCGCAUAAUGUCGCAAGACCAAAGUGGGGGACCUUCGGGCCUCAUGCCAUCAGAUGUGCCCAGAUGGGAUUAGCUAGUAGGUGGGGUAACGGCUCACCUAGGCGACGAUCCCUAGCUGGUCUGAGAGGAUGACCAGCCACACUGGAACUGAGACACGGUCCAGACUCCUACGGGAGGCAGCAGUGGGGAAUAUUGCACAAUGGGCGCAAGCCUGAUGCAGCCAUGCCGCGUGUGUGAAGAAGGCCUUCGGGUUGUAAAGCACUUUCAGCGGGGAGGAAGGCGGUGAGGUUAAUAACCUCAUCGAUUGACGUUACCCGCAGAAGAAGCACCGGCUAACUCCGUGCCAGCAGCCGCGGUAAUACGGAGGGUGCAAGCGUUAAUCGGAAUUACUGGGCGUAAAGCGCACGCAGGCGGUCUGUCAAGUCGGAUGUGAAAUCCCCGGGCUCAACCUGGGAACUGCAUUCGAAACUGGCAGGCUAGAGUCUUGUAGAGGGGGGUAGAAUUCCAGGUGUAGCGGUGAAAUGCGUAGAGAUCUGGAGGAAUACCGGUGGCGAAGGCGGCCCCCUGGACAAAGACUGACGCUCAGGUGCGAAAGCGUGGGGAGCAAACAGGAUUAGAUACCCUGGUAGUCCACGCCGUAAACGAUGUCGAUUUGGAGGUUGUGCCCUUGAGGCGUGGCUUCCGGAGCUAACGCGUUAAAUCGACCGCCUGGGGAGUACGGCCGCAAGGUUAAAACUCAAAUGAAUUGACGGGGGCCCGCACAAGCGGUGGAGCAUGUGGUUUAAUUCGAUGCAACGCGGAGAACCUUACCUGGUCUUGACAUCCACAGAACUUUCCAGAGAUGGAUUGGUGCCUUCGGGAACUGUGAGACAGGUGCUGCAUGGCUGUCGUCAGCUCGUGUUGUGAAAUGUUGGGUUAAGUCCCGCAACGAGCGCAACCCUUAUCCUUUGUUGCCAGCGGUUCGGCCGGGAACUCAAAGGAGACUGCCAGUGAUAAACUGGAGGAAGGUGGGGAUGACGUCAAGUCAUCAUGGCCCUUACGACCAGGGCUACACACGUGCUACAAUGGCAUAUACAAAGAGAAGCGACCUCGCGAGAGCAAGCGGACCUCAUAAAGUAUGUCGUAGUCCGGAUUGGAGUCUGCAACUCGACUCCAUGAAGUCGGAAUCGCUAGUAAUCGUAGAUCAGAAUGCUACGGUGAAUACGUUCCCGGGCCUUGUACACACCGCCCGUCACACCAUGGGAGUGGGUUGCAAAAGAAGUAGGUAGCUUAACCUUCGGGAGGGCGCUUACCACUUUGUGAUUCAUGACUGGGGUG
This 1462-nucleotide ribosomal RNA is filed under the name Klebsiella pneumoniae. RNAcentral describes it as "bacterial SSU rRNA". It matches the Rfam family "Bacterial small subunit ribosomal RNA". Lineage: Bacteria; Pseudomonadati; Pseudomonadota; Gammaproteobacteria; Enterobacterales; Enterobacteriaceae. The record is from RNAcentral.